This 465-nucleotide ribosomal RNA is filed under the name uncultured bacterium. RNAcentral's name for it is "partial 16S ribosomal RNA". It matches the Rfam family "Bacterial small subunit ribosomal RNA", at positions 28 to 507 of the family's 1533-position model. The record is from RNAcentral.
GACGAACGCUGGCGGCGUGCUUAACACAUGCAAGUCGUACGGUAAGGCCCUUUCGGGGGUCCACGAGUGGCGAACGGGUGCGUAACACGUGAGUAACCUGCCCACAACUUUGGGAUAACGCUAGGAAACUGGUGCUAAUACUGGAUAUGUGCUCCUGCUGCAUGGUGGGGGUUGGAAAGCUCCGGCGGUUGUGGAUGGACUCGCGGCCUAUCAGCUUGUUGGUGGGGUAGUGGCCUACCAAGGCGGCGACGGGUAGCCGGCCUGAGAGGGUGACCGGCCACAUUGGGACUGAGAUACGGCCCAGACUCCUACGGGAGGCAGCAGUGGGGAAUAUUGCACAAUGGGCGCAAGCCUGAUGCAGCAACGCCGCGUGCGGGAUGACGGCCUUCGGGUUGUAAACCGAUUUCAGCAGGGACGAAGCUUUUUGUGACGGUACCUGCAGAAGAAGCACCGGCUAACUACGUG